UGAGAGGACGACCAGCCACACUGGAACUGAGACACGGUCCAGACUCCUACGGGAGGCAGCAGUGGGGAAUUUUGGACAAUGGGGGCAACCCUGAUCCAGCCAUGCCGCGUGCGGGAAGAAGGCCUUCGGGUUGUAAACCGCUUUUGUCAGGGACGAAAAGGUGCGGGUAAGAGCUAGCACUGAUGACGGUACCUGAAGAAUAAGC
RNAcentral lists this ribosomal RNA (205 nucleotides) under uncultured beta proteobacterium. RNAcentral's name for it is "partial 16S ribosomal RNA". It matches the Rfam family "Bacterial small subunit ribosomal RNA", at positions 293 to 491 of the family's 1533-position model. Lineage: Bacteria; Pseudomonadati; Pseudomonadota; Betaproteobacteria. The record is from RNAcentral.